RNAcentral lists this ribosomal RNA (1277 nucleotides) under metagenome. RNAcentral describes it as "bacterial LSU rRNA". It matches the Rfam family "Bacterial large subunit ribosomal RNA", at positions 1634 to 2900 of the family's 2925-position model. The record is from RNAcentral.
CUACACGACCGUACCGCAAACCGACACUGGUGCGCGAGACGAGUAUUCUAAGGCGCUUGAGAGAACUCGGGAGAAGGAACUCGGCAAAUUGACACCGUAACUUCGGAAGAAGGUGUGCCUUUAGCAGGUGAACCAUUUACUUGGGGAGCCCAAUGAGGUUGCAAAAAAUCGGUGGCUGCGACUGUUUAUUAAAAACACAGCACUCUGCAAACACGAAAGUGGACGUAUAGGGUGUGACGCCUGCCCGGUGCUGGAAGAUUAAAUGAUGGGGUGCAAGCUCUUGAUUGAAGUCCCAGUAAACGGCGGCCGUAACUAUAACGGUCCUAAGGUAGCGAAAUUCCUUGUCGGGUAAGUUCCGACCUGCACGAAUGGCGUAACGAUGGCCACACUGUCUCCUCCCGAGACUCAGCGAAGUUGAAAUGUUUGUGAUGAUGCAAUCUCCCCGCGGAAAGACGGAAAGACCCCAUGAACCUUUACUGUAGCUUUGUAUUGGACUUUGAACAGAUCUGUGUAGGAUAGGUGGGAGGCUUUGAAGUAGGGUCGCUAGAUCUUAUGGAGCCAACGUUGAAAUACCACCCUGGUGUGUUUGAGGUUCUAACCUAGGUCCAUUAUCUGGAUCGGGGACAGUGCAUGGUAGGCAGUUUGACUGGGGCGGUCUCCUCCCAAAGCGUAACGGAGGAGUUCGAAGGUACGCUAGUUACGGUCGGACAUCGUGACGAUAGUGCAAUGGCAUAAGCGUGCUUAACUGCGAGACUGACAAGUCGAGCAGAUGCGAAAGCAGGACAUAGUGAUCCGGUGGUUCUGUAUGGAAGGGCCAUCGCUCAACGGAUAAAAGGUACUCUGGGGAUAACAGGCUGAUACCGCCCAAGAGUUCAUAUCGACGGCGGUGUUUGGCACCUCGAUGUCGGCUCAUCUCAUCCUGGGGCUGUAGCCGGUCCCAAGGGUAUGGCUGUUCGCCAUUUAAAGAGGUACGUGAGCUGGGUUUAAAACGUCGUGAGACAGUUUGGUCCCUAUCUUCCGUGGGCGCUGCAGAUUUGAGGAAGCCUGCUCCUAGUACGAGAGGACCGGAGUGGACACACCUCUGGUGUAUCGGUUGUCACGCCAGUGGCAUUGCCGAGUAGCUAAGUGUGGAAGAGAUAACCGCUGAAAGCAUCUAAGCGGGAAACUCGUUUCAAGAUGAGAUCUGCCGGGGCCUUGAGCCCCCUAAAGAGUCGUUCAAGACCAGGACGUUGAUAGGUCAGGUGUGGAAGCGCAGUAAUGCGUUAAGCUAACUGAUA